This 468-nucleotide ribosomal RNA is filed under the name uncultured bacterium. RNAcentral describes it as "partial 16S ribosomal RNA". It matches the Rfam family "Bacterial small subunit ribosomal RNA", at positions 28 to 507 of the family's 1533-position model. The record is from RNAcentral.
GACGAACGCUGGCGGCGUGCUUAACACAUGCAAGUCGAACGGAAAGGCCCUCCUUUUUUGGGUUCCUCGAUUGGCGAACGGGUGAGUAACCGUUAGGUAACCUGCCCUGAACUUUGGGAUACCUCCAGGAAACUGGGGUCAUUACCGGCUAGUACCUCCUGCUGCUGGGUGUGGUUUGGAAAUUUGCGGCGGUCGGGGUUGGACUCGCGGCUUAUCGGCUUGUUGGUGGGUUAGUGUCUUACCAAGGCUUUGACGGGUAGCCGGCCUGAGAGGGUGACCGGCCACAUUGGGACUGAGAUACGGCCCAGACUCCUACGGGAGGAAGCGGUGGGGAAUAUUGCACAAUGGGCGGAAGCCUGAUGCAGCAACGCCGCGUGCGGGAUGACGGCCUUCGGGUUGUAAACCGCUUUCGCCUGUGACGAAGCGUGAGUGACGGUAAUGGGUAAAGAAGCACCGGCUAACUACGUG